AACCAGCUCUUCAAGUGGUCGGGAUGAUUAUUGGGCUUAAAGUGUCCGUAGCCGGUUUAGUAAGUUCCUGGUAAAAUCAGGUAGCUUAACUAUCUGUAUGCUAGGAAUACUACUAUACUAGAGGGCGGGAGAGGUCUGAGGUACUACAGGGGUAGGGGUGAAAUCUUAUAAUCCUUGUAGGACCACCAGUGGCGAAGGCGUCAGACUGGAACGUGCCUGACGGUGAGGGACGAAAGCCAGGGGGGCGAACCGGAUUAGAUACCCGGGUAGUCCUGGCCGUAAACGAUGCAUACUAGGUGAUGGCCCGGCCAUGAGCCGUGUCAGUGCCGUAGGGAAACCGUUAAGUGUGCCGCCUGGGAAGUACGGUCGCAAGGCUAAAACUUAAAGGAAUUGGCGGGGAGCACCACAAGGGGUGAAGCCUGCGGUUC
RNAcentral lists this ribosomal RNA (428 nucleotides) under uncultured archaeon. RNAcentral's name for it is "bacterial SSU rRNA". It matches the Rfam family "Archaeal small subunit ribosomal RNA", at positions 474 to 903 of the family's 1478-position model. The record is from RNAcentral.